CUUCUAACGUUGAAAUUUCAGAAGAUACAAUGAAAACUCUAUAAUGACGGACAUAUUUUCAUUAGAUAUGGAUGAGUCGAUAGACUUCAUAGUUAAGCACCUUCCGGAGUCGAUCUACACCAGUUUAAAUGUGACCUGGAGUAAGAUCAUGUCCGGGGAACCUGACUCAGAGGUUGUCACAACAGUUUUAAUCUCCCUAAUUAUUCCGGCCGUGAUCAUCCUCAUCAUAUCCUGGAGCCUGGGGACGAAGGUGAAGGAGAAGAUCCCAGAUCAGAUCAAGAACAAGAUCAAUGCAGCGCGAGAUUUCGUGGUUCCCCCCGAGGGUCCAAGGUUCAGGAAAAGAGAUAAAAUUGCCUUCAUUGGACAAAGAAUGGUCAAAAAAGUAAAGGCGGCCGGCAGCUAUAUCCGAGGAGGACAAGGACGGAAAAGAAAGGCUAUUGCCAAGUUUGCUAAACGUUUGCUAGGACAACAGAUAUCUCCUGAAACAGGACAUAAGUUCAAACUUCCCCUACCCUUGGAGUACCUGGAGGAGGACUUCGACGGAGGACACGAGAUUUUACCGCAACAGCUGAAGUUCGUGCUGCAGAACAUGCGAGUUUUCGGUCAUUUUGAGCAACCAAUCUUCCUCGAGAUCGUUAAACAGAUCGAGUAUAUGUCGGUGCCAGCAAACCAAUAUCUAUUCCAGGUUGGAGAUCCAGAUGCCAAUAUAUUUAUCGUUCAGACCGGUCUUCUCAAUGUUUACUCUACUGACCCUGAAGGGAACAAGUCUAGUCUAAAGCAAGUUAAACCCGGGGAUUCUGUGAUGUCUCUUCUCAGUUUUCUAGAUCAUCUCUCCGGACAGUACAAUCCCUACAAGACUGUAUGCGCCAAGGCAAUGGAAGAUACCAAGAUAAUUAAACUUCCAUUUAGUGCGUUUAAGAUUGCGUUUGAAAAGUACCCGGAUGCGUACUUGCGCGUAGUUCAGAUUGUGAUGAUUCGACUUCAACGCGUGACCUUGCUAGCCCUUCAUCAGUAUCUAGGACUAGGUACUGAACUGAUUGCCAGCCAGCACAGGGGGAACAAGAACCUCAAGUAUAGGUUAGAUAGGAUGGACUCUAUCCAGGGAGCAGGAGCAGCAGAUGAGUCAGUAAACCAACCUUCAAUAUUGCAGAUGCAGUUGUCAAAUCAGAAGAAGAGGAAAAGUUCUAUUGAGAAGCGGGAGGAGAUGCUGAUGUUUGCCCUUAAAACCUUCAAGGAGCAGCUAGGACUUGAAUCUGAAGCAAGUUUGGAGGGAAAUGUGGAAAUCAGAGAAAUUCCUGAAGGAUACCGGAUCAUGGAGGAGGAUAGUUUGAAGGAUGCAGCUUUGGUUCUAGUCGUCCAGGGUUGCUUCAUCGUCUCCCAGCAGGGAGAGGACGGAAAGGAGAAGGAGCUCCAUCAUUGUUAUCCUGGAGGACUUCUUGGACAACUCCAGGUGUUAACAGGAGAACCAUCCAUCUUUACAGUGUGUGCUCGUGUGUCAAGUCACGUGGCCUGCUUGUCCCGACAGCUCGUCUUUGAUCUAAUGUCUGCUCAACCGGAUGUUACUCUUCAUCUGGCGAGCAGUGUGACGUCACAUUUAUCUCCUUUUGUUAGAUCUAUAGAUUUUGCUCUGGACUGGAUGCUUAUAGAGUCAGGGAAAGCAAUAUAUCGUCAGGGUGACGAGGCCGAUUGUACAUUCGUCAUUCUCUCCGGCCGUCUCCGGUCUGUCAUAGUUAGGAACGGUCGACGAGAGUUGGCCGGAGAGUUUGGACGAGGAGAACUAUGCGGGAUUAUUGAAACUCUGACAGGAACUCAGAGGUCAACAACUCUCCUUGCAGUCCGUGAUACAGAGGUUGCAAAACUCCCAGCUGGACUGAUUAACUGCAUCAAACUUAGGUUCCCAGUGGUCGUCUCUAGGCUUAUGAGUCUUCUAGGGAAAAGAUUGCUUUCUCUUGAGCAACCUGGUCUCGGACAGGGAGCUAGUGAAUCUGUGGGUAACCCUGGGUUCAGUACCAUUGCUCUUGUUGCUGUAACAGAUAAUAUUCCUCUCUCCGCCAUUACACAUGAGCUUGUUCAUUGUCUAAACAUUAUAGGUCCAGCUAAGAGAAUAUCUCCUGACGUGGUCCGAGCAGCUUUAGGAAGCUCUGCUCUUGAACCUGGGAAUGAUUAUAAGAUGACCGCCUGGUUGGGAGGUCAGGAGGAUCAACACAAGGUUGUAGUUUACCAGGCUGAUUCAGUAGAGAGACUUACACCUUGGACUCAACAGUGUAUUAGGCAUGCUGACUGUAUCCUGAUAGUAGCGUGGGCAGAUUCGAAACCAUCCGUCUCCGGGUUUGAAGAGAAGCUGGAGAAUCUCUCCUUGAGAACCACAAAGGAGCUGGUUCUUCUCCACUCGGAGGAAACAGAACUGCCACAAAAUACAAGCAAAUGGUUGGAAGAAAGAUCCUGGAUCAGCGCUCAUCAUCAUAUUCGUGUUCCAUCCCGUCUUUGUGUUAAACGGUCCGACCGGAGACUUGAAGAGCAGUACCAACAGUUGGCCAUAGAGGGAGUUAAACCUGAUAUUCAUUCUGAUCUGGCGAGAUUAAGCCGGAUACUGACAGGAACUAGUGUAGGACUGGUUUUAGGAGGAGGAGGAGCUAAAGGUUGCUCUCAUGUUGGUAUGAUAAAGGCAAUAUUAGAGGCUGGUAUACCCAUAGAUAGGGUUGCUGGAGUAUCCAUUGGAUCAUUCAUGGGAGCACUCUGGUGCCAGGAGAGGGAUAUCAGCAAGCUCACCAUCAAGGCCAGGAGCUUCUGUAAGAAGAUGGGACAGAAAUGGAGGAUGGCGCUAGACCUCACCUAUCCUUACACCAGUAUGAUGUCAGGGUUCGGGUUUAAUACUCUCCUGGAGGAGGUGUUUACGAAUACUCAGAUAGAAGAUCUCUGGGUUCCGUUCUUUACUAUCACCACAGAUAUUAGUGUCUCUAGUAUGCGGAUUCAUGAGGUUGGAUCAGUUUGGAGAUAUGUCAGAGGUUCAAUGUCUUUAGCAAGUUAUAUGCCCCCAAUGUGUGACCCUGUUGACGGUCAUCAUCUGUUAGACGGAGGAUAUGUUAAUAAUCUACCUGCUGACAUCAUGCACAAGAAGGGAGCUCAUCAUAUCCUGGCUGUAGAUGUUGGAUCACAGGAUGAGACGGAACUACAUAAUUUCGGAGACUGGUUGUCAGGCUGGCAAAUACUCUGGGCUAAACUCAAUCCGUUCUCAACCAUGCCAAAGGUCCCAAGUCAAGCAGAGGUUCAGUUACGCUUGGCGUACGUAUCCUGUGUGCGUCAGCUAGAGGAAGUUAAGAAUGCGUCAUACUGUGAUUAUAUUCGUCCGCCUAUAGACAAGUACGGAACCUUGCAGUUCGAGGCCUUCGAGGAGAUUCGAGAUGUUGGAUACUAUCAUGGACAGACUUAUUUUGCUGGACUGCGUAAAGCUGGUCAACUGGGUUGGGUCAAUUUUGACCGAUCUAAUCGUCGAGGAAGCUUAGAAAACCUUGCUGUAGAUAAACAUGCUCCAGGUCUACCAGGAAACUAUGCAAGGUUUACUGAUCUUGCUGAGAUGGUUUGUCGGGUUCGUCAGACUACUCCAGAUAGACAAAUUGUCCCGUAUUCUGCAGAAUCUGAUCUUUCUGAUAAUUCGGAGACAGAACCUGAUGAUUCGGAUUUUCUAACGGAUCCUGAAAACUGUAUUGAAGAGGAUGAUGAAGAUCUAGAGAGUGGGUUUAUGUCAACAGGAAAUGGAGAUUUUCCUCCACAGAACUACCCAUUGAGUUUGAAGGAUGAGAAUGGAUCCAGAUCUAGAUCUUCUAGUUUUACUAAUAAACCGGGACAUAUAUAGAAUACAGUAUAUUUAUAGUUUUCAUUUAUUGGGAUACCAAAAAUAUGAAAAUAUUCAACUCUUAUAGAUGAUAAUUAAAUAUCUGGCAAAAGCGCCUGUUUCUUUGCAAUCAGAAAUUUUUCUUAUAGAUUUGUAUACAUCUGCGCUAUUUUGUGUGUUUUUGUACUGAAUUUAAAAUAUGCUUUUUUGUUAGUAUCAUAGUUUCAGACAAUAUUUUACAUGUUAUGCUUUUCUUUUUAAAUAGUUUUCUUGAUUAAUUUAUAUUCCUUAAAUCGCUUGGAUUUCUAAAUCUCUUGUUGUUAAGGUAGAAAAUGAGAUUAUUCCAAUACUUCUUGAGUUGAAAACUUUUAAAUGAACAGAAUAAGCUAAACUAAUUAUGUCUGGCAAAUCUUGUUUAAUCAUUGAGAGAGAAAACUUUUGAAUGAGAAAUCCUUAAUCCCGAUCGGUUAAUUAAUCUGGAGGUAAAAUACAGGAGGAGAACAAGCAUUAUUCAAUCUGGAUUUUAAGUAAAAGAGUGGAUCAAGCAUUAAUCCCGAUAUCCACCAUUUAAAAAUUCCCAGCUCAUUUAGGUUUAACUGAUAUUUCAGAUCUGCAUUUUUGGUUAAUCUUUAACCUUUCUUUUAAAGUUACCAAGCAGGGAACUUUGGAAUGGUGGAAUCGAGAUCAAUGCUUGAUCCUCUCUCUUUUAUCUCGAAACUAGCCUAAUCUUGUGUUUGUAUCCUGAAAAGUGUAGAAAUUUCAACCAAUCAGAGUGGUGUAUCAGCAGCCGGGAAAUUUGAAAUUUUGCGCGCCAUUUAAAGAGAGUUCUCGUAUCUAAUUAAGAUUGAUAUACAAUUAUAUAAUUUUUAAAAACCGGUUUUUGAUUUGUCAACUUUUGCCAUAAAGAGUGAAUUAAGCAAGAAACUAAAAGUGUCCACAUUGGAUAUUCAGAUUAAGCGAUUGGGAUUAAAGGUAUCCGAUUCUAAAGUUCCCAGCUCAGUUCAAAUUUUUUUGUCAUUCAUUUUAGGGCUUAAACUUAAAUUAUUUUUCAUCGUAAAAUUCCAUUCAGAAAAUUCCGACUUAAAUAAAAUUUGCUGUGAGAAUGAUGUAAGGCAUUUUCAUGUUAUUUUCUUAUCGUUAACACAAAAUGUUAAAAUAGUUAUUUUCCAGUUUUAAAGGGAUUUCGCAUUUGGACAAAUGUUACGUUUUCUAAAUCACCUCUCUUGCCAUUUUUAAAAGCUACCAGCAUUGAUCGAUUUCAUAAAAUUUACAUUUAACUACUCGGACUAGUUUACGCAGUUUAAACAAGUUGAGAAGAAGUUUAAUAAAAACAGUUCUACUUAUAAAUAUCGAAAUUAGAGUGUUUCCUCAGAGUUUGUAAAAAUAUAAACAUUGUAAUGUAUACUCAAUAAUUGGUUCAAACUAUUCUCUAUCUCUCUCCCCAGUCCUCAAACUAUUGGAAUUUUGCCAAAUAUUGAUGAAUCCGAAGUUGCAUACAUCAAUAUUUGAUUGAACUUAAACCAAUUUAUAAAAUUUUGAAAAGUUUGAAUCAAAAGUACGCCCUAGAACUUAGCUUUAGCAAUAUUUUAUCAUGCUUGAAAUUUUAUUAAUACAAGGUUUAUUUUAACGCUUAAUAUCUGGGUUCUUCAUUCUUCAAGUUUGCUAACUCCACACACUUUCUGGUGUUUAAAUUAUAAUCUAGUAGCCUAGUUCUCCAGGUUCUUUGAAUGCUCUAGUUUGUCCAUAUGCUUCUUGAUCUCUGGAUGCUCCAGGUUCUCUGGAUUUUCUAGAUGCUCUAGGUUCUUUGGAUGCUCUAGGUUUUCCGUAUGUCCCAGGUUCUCUUGAUGCUCCAGGUUCUCUGGAUGUUCUAGGUUCUUAUAGAUUCUCUAGGUUCUUUGGAUGCUCCGGGUUCUUUCUCUGAAUGCUCUAAGUUUUCUUGAUGCUCCAGGUUCUCUGAAUGCCCUAGGUUCUCUGUAGCUCCAGUUUCACUGGAUGCUCUCGAUUCUUUGUAUGCUCGAGGUUCUCUGGAUUCUCCAGGGUCUUUGGAUGCUUUAGGUUUUAAUAUGCUUUAUGCUCUCUAUAUUCUUCAAUUUCAUCCGGGUUCACUACUGCACCGGGUUUUAAAGAUUAGAUAUAGUUAAUGAGUUCCCUUCGCCAAAUUGUGUUCUAAACAUUUAGUCAAGAACUCAUCCAUCUUAUAAAGAAUGCCAUUUUCAAUCCAUUUUAUACAAAUAUGUAAAUAUGUGUUCAUGCUUUCAGAAUUAUCCGCAAAGUAUGAGACUUCAGAGGAAUUUAUUCAAUGGUUCCGUGCAUUUUUUCAAAUCAUCAAGUUUACCCGUAAAAGGUGAUAUCCAAUCCAUAAGUUCAAAUUCAACCUUCAGCUUGUCAUAUUUACAGAGAUCCAGGGUGUCACAAACGUCUUAUUCUUUGUGGGUAACCCUGUAAUUAGCUGAUCAAUUAGCUUGAUAAACCUGCAUUGGUGCCAUAUAAAUGUUGUUAUGUAUUAUACAGAUUGAUAGAAAACGUGUGAUUAAUUUUAUAUCAGCAAAAUUAUUUAAAUAAAGAUUGUUUUUCUUAUU
This 6411-nucleotide unclassified non-coding RNA is filed under the name Eurytemora carolleeae. RNAcentral describes it as "neuropathy target esterase sws". The record is from RNAcentral. Lineage: Eukaryota; Metazoa; Arthropoda; Copepoda; Calanoida; Temoridae.